AUUGAACGCUGGCGGAAUGCUUAACACAUGCAAGUCGAGCGGGGUGUAGCAAUACACCUAGCGGCGGACGGGUGAGGAAUACAUAGGAAUCUGCCUCAGAGCGGGGGACGAGCCGGGGAAACCCGGGAACUUAAUACCGCAUGAUGUCGCAAGAACCAAAACGUAGGGGGACCGGCCAAGGCCCCACCACUCUGAGAUGAGCCUAUGUCCGACUU
This 215-nucleotide ribosomal RNA is filed under the name uncultured bacterium. RNAcentral's name for it is "partial 16S ribosomal RNA". It matches the Rfam family "Bacterial small subunit ribosomal RNA", at positions 30 to 243 of the family's 1533-position model. The record is from RNAcentral.